UACAGAGGGGGCAAGCGUUGUUCGGAAUUACUGGGCGUAAAGCGCGUGCAGGCGGCCCUGCAAGUCGGAUGUGAAAUCCCACGGCUCAACCGUGGAAGUGCAUUCGAAACUGCAGGGCUAGAGUCCUGGAGAGGAAGGUGGAAUGCUUGGUGUAGAGGUGAAAUUCGUAGAUAUCAAGCGGAACACCGGUGGCGAAGGCGGCCUUCUGGACAGUGACUGACGCUGAGACGCGAAAGCGUGGGGAGCAAACAGG
RNAcentral lists this ribosomal RNA (253 nucleotides) under uncultured bacterium. Its description in RNAcentral is "partial 16S ribosomal RNA". It matches the Rfam family "Bacterial small subunit ribosomal RNA", at positions 524 to 776 of the family's 1533-position model. The record is from RNAcentral.